Molecule: transfer RNA, 72 nt
Filed under: Bombilactobacillus apium
Lineage: Bacteria; Bacillati; Bacillota; Bacilli; Lactobacillales; Lactobacillaceae
Rfam family: tRNA
About the family: Transfer RNA (tRNA) molecules are approximately 80 nucleotides in length.
Source: Rfam by way of RNAcentral
UGCCCGUUGGUCAAACGGUUAAGACGCCACCCUCUCAAGGUGGAGUUACGGGUUCGAUUCCCGUACGGGCGA